This 69-nucleotide transfer RNA is filed under the name Ictidomys tridecemlineatus (thirteen-lined ground squirrel). Its description in RNAcentral is "Spermophilus tridecemlineatus (thirteen-lined ground squirrel) tRNA". It matches the Rfam family "tRNA". From Rfam's summary of the family: Transfer RNA (tRNA) molecules are approximately 80 nucleotides in length. Their secondary structure includes four short double-helical elements and three loops (D, anti-codon, and T loops). The record is from Rfam by way of RNAcentral. Lineage: Eukaryota; Metazoa; Chordata; Mammalia; Rodentia; Sciuridae.
GGGGCUGUGGCUCAGCGGUAGAGCACUUGCCUAGCAUGCGUGAGGCACUGGGUUCAAUUCUCAGUACCA